Long non-coding RNA from Apus apus (common swift), 5075 nucleotides. RefSeq lists it as uncharacterized. The record is from RefSeq and is a predicted model, not a curated record. Lineage: Eukaryota; Metazoa; Chordata; Aves; Apodiformes; Apodidae. The transcript is spliced from 8 exons.
CAGCUCUCCCAGCCUUUCCUCACAGGCAGAUGCUCCAGUCCCCUCAGCACCUCAGUGGCCUGUGCUGGACUCUCUCCAGUAGCUCCUUGUCCCUCUUGAACUGGGGAGCCAAGCACUGGUCCCAAUAUUCUAGAUGUGGCCUCCCCAGGGCAGAGCAGAGGGGCAGGAGAACCUCCCUCAACCUUCUGACCACACUGUUCCUAACACACCCCAGGAGGCCACUGUCCCUCCUUGGCUGCAAGGACACAUUGUUGGCUCAUGAUCAUCAGCCUGUUGCCCACCAGGAACCCAAGGUCCUUCUCCCCAGAGCUGCUCUCCAGCAGGUCAGCCCCAGCCUGGCCUGAUCCAUGGGGUUGUCCCUCCCCAGAUGCAGCUCCUGACACCUGCCCUCGUUGAAUUUCCUGAAGUCCCCACCCAGCCAGUGAAUCUGUGAGCACAGCGAGGGCUGAGCUGGUGGGGCAGGACAGCUCAGUGCUCUUCUUGAUCUCCAUCCCCUUUCUGCUCAACAGGGAUGUUCUUGUCAGCCUCAGGAGUCUCCAGCCCCUUCCUGGUGCCUGCUCAGCUCGGUUUUAUUUCAUGACUCUGAAUUCCAAAUUUAUUUCACCAGGGGACACAUUCUGCCUGGGAGAGGUCUCCACAUCAGCCUGGGAAAUACCUGCUAAAGAGCAAAGCCCCCGAGGCAAAGAGGUUGAACCUUCUGUGGACCAGUUUGUGCCCAUUGCCCCUUGUUCUGUCCCUGGACAUCACAGAGGAGAGUCUGGCUCCAUCCUCCUGACACCCGCUGUAGGCUUCAGUCCAGCCUUGGCCAUGACUGCUGCUCCACAACUGGGAGCUUUGCAAGACCAGAAGAUGCUCUCCAGGGUGCUCCUGGAGCGAGGAACCUGCUGCCAGCACUGCAGACUGCUCAGAGCUGAGCUGCCUGCUUGUCAGAGUCCAUUCUAAAGGAAGGCUGAUCACUUUGGUGUAUCUGCUACAGGAGCUGUACAGGUCCUAUGGUGAUAAACACAACCUACAGAUGUGCUCAGGAACAGGUUCUCUUCCAAUGCUUUCAUAAAUCCUACAGACAGAAGAGGUGAUGAAGAAAAACUUCAGAAGCAAAGGUCUGAGUUACCAAUGAUAAUCAGGUGUCUGGAAUUAGUGGGAACGGGGCACUUAAUAACUUCUCAUAGCCUGGGGCAAUAGGAAAUCUCAGCAGUCCUGAGAUCCUUCAAACCUUCCUUAAGCCUUGCUCAAGCUCCCACCAGGGAACUUUCCCAUGCCACCUGUAUUUCUGCAGCAGGCACAUUGACAACCACAGAGGGUCCCAGCACUUGCUGAGCCAGAGGGAAUGAGAGAGGUGGCCAGUGGUGAAAGCUUUGUCCUCAGAGAUCUGUGAACAACCACCUCUGCUUGGAUGGUUUCAGUGUUUCAUGCAAGUGGGGCAUUUUGGAAGGAAGCCACAGAAUAUCCUGCUGCCCAUUUUGUCCCGUUACUAGGGUGAACACUGAAGAAACAGGUGGUGAGAGUUCAACUCUGUGCUCUGGAGAUAAAAACGUAAUGGAGACCAUUUGCUUUCCCACAGCCCGGGUGCUCUGGCUCCACGUUUGUAGGUGACAGAGCAGCUGCCUCCUGGUCGUACCACGUUGGCUGAGUUGCAAGGCUCCUCCUCUGCUUGUGUGCUCUGGUGGGAGGCUGGACAUCUAACUGUGGGCUGAGGCUCCCACCAGGUCCAGCCUGAGGUAAUUUCUUCAUAUGGCACAGAGAGGCAAGGCCCAGUUGGGACAGGGAAGGCAGGAAGCAAUGAGCUGCUUCCUCUUCUGCAGCCCCUCCAACGUGGUGCCAGCACCUCAGGGACCAGGUGCUCCCCCUGGCUCCGUGCUUCUGAGGACCAAAGGGCAAUGCAAGGAAGGAUUUAGACCCAGAAGCUCUCCCAGCCGUUGUGGAGCUCCAUCCCUAAGGGCUGAUGCAACCUUCCUUUGUUUUCAUGGGCACCAACAGCCUCACUGGCAGCAUCGUUUGCUGCCAAGACCAGUUCAGUUAUUGUGAAGCAAGAGGUCUGUGUAAUUCUCUUUGAGAUGAUGUGAUGCUGUAAGGACAUUUGUGUUUAAAGUUUGUGUUCUCUUGUCUUUCCUCUUUUCAUUUUACACAACUUCCUAGCUCCCCUUGCAGCAAGUCUUGCUGUUGUACAUUGUGGUGACUUUAAAGAGAACAUAGGGAAGCUGUGGCUGCCCCAUCCCUGGCAGUGUUGAAGGGCAGGUUGGAUGGGGCUUGGAGCAACCUGGGCUGGUGGGAGGUGUCCCUGCCCACGCAGGGGGUUGGAUCUAGAUGAACUUUAAGGUCCCUUCCAACCCAAACCACUCUAUGUUCAGACAUGCAGGGAGUCCUACAAGUCUUCCUUAGCUCAUCCAUGACAGUGACUGCCAAAGCAGGUGACAUUAUCCAAAUGAGCUCCUUUGGAGUUCACUGCACUGCUUGGAUCCCCACGGUGGGUUUGGUGUCAUCACUGAGCUAAGGCUUUUCCUUUUGGAUGAAUUCUUGUCAGCCUUCUGGACAUACUGGUCUUUAUUGAUUGAAGAGUCUUUCUCACCUUCUGAAGGAACAGUAUUUCCAGUUUGCUUCUGCUAUCAUAAAAUAUGAAAAGAAGAUCAAGGAAUCAAAUGUUAUUUUGGACUUUCUUAAGUAAUUAGCAGGAUCAAACCAGAUCCUUUCUGCCAGAAAUCAACAUAAGGUCAGCAACUGAACUUCAGGAUGUCAGAGGUAGUAGCAACUUUAUAACUUUUCUAUAAGCAAAACCAUGUUAUGCCUAGAAUGGCACAUUUAAAAUCUAUCUAUCUAUCUAUCUAUCUAUCUAUCUAUCUAUCUAUCUAUCUAUCUAUCUAUCUAUCUAUCUAUCUAUAUGUACCAAGAAUCCAAAAACUAUGAAGAACUCUGGGCCUCCCAUUUUCCAACCAUGACUAUCCAGAAAUCUCAUUUAGGAAUGUGGGUGAGUUGCACAGAGUCACUCAACCCAGCUGACCACUCUGGUGUUUGAAACCCUUUCCUAGCUUGUACAAUAACGUGCUAAUUAAAGAGACUGAAGAGCACUUUUCCUAAUCCUUCUGAUUUUCCUCCCACAGCCUCCUGCACCCUCUGUCUGUACAGCUCAUGCUGGUUGCCUGGUCUGGCUGCUACAUUUGUCCCUGCAGCACUUGACAUCACACACUGACCAGGCUCUUCGGGCAGUGCCAGAUGGUGAACUGCUUGGAACGGGGUUUUAAAAACCCACUUAAUGUUUGCCUUUUCCUUUCUGAGAGAUUUACCUUGACUGGGCUUAAGUCAAUCAGGACUGAAUUCCAGAACCAAGAUGCAGUUUGAUUCUGUCUCAAUCCUUUAAAAAACUGUGUUGCUUUAUACUGUCAAAUAUCACGGAUAGGGAAGUGUCACCUUCCAGCUAAGGGGCUACCACAAGACAAUGAUUUAAAACAUGUGCUGUGCUUGCCCGUGCCUGGGGCAGGUGGAUCCCUUAGCACCUGCUCCUCCAUGCAAAGGCUCUGCUGGGCACAGUGUUGCUGCUGGCAGCUUCAGUGGUGACAGACUGACAGACAAAUGGUGCUUCAGGCAGCUCUGCAGGAGAUGCGGUUUCGUGAGACAAGGGGUACAGCUGAUUGCCAUCACCCCAAGGAAAACCACCAUGGAGGAGCAGAAAACAACCUGUUUUCCAGGACCUUAAGAGAUGUAUCACUGAGGUCCUGAGUGCCAAGGUUAGAUCUUAUUUCUGCACCUUUUCUGCACUUUCUUCAAGCCCUUAAGGACCACAGUCUUUAGGAACAAGUUCCUUCAAGAUGCUAGUUGGGAGAAAUAUCAGAAGACAUUAGAAGAUGAUGGCCAUAAAUGCCUGCAAGGUGUGUCCUCCAGGCAGGAAAGGGAGUAACUACAUCCCCUGGUCAUGGGAGUGUGGAAAAGGGACUCUAUAACUUCAUAGUGGCAGAUUUGGGAAAAUAAUCUCUGGUCCUGAGAAGAUGCAGAGUUCUUCUCCAGACCUGAAAAAGCAUUUGGACAGAAUUGCUUUGUGUACAGAAAACAGAAGAAAAUAGGGACUAAAAUGUUUUGAGAGGAAAAAGCAAGACAAGGAUGGACUGGCAGGAAGACUGUAGCUGGACGGUCUCCUGGGUUCCAGACAGCAGGCAUAGUAUAUUCUUGUAAACAGAACUGCAUUAAUUUGUCUGCAACCAGAGUUUUCCCCUUCAAGGCCCCUGCCUUUGGCUUAUUGUUCAGUUACCAUGAAGUUCAACUUUGGACAGUAACUUUCACCCUUGUUUAAUGCUGCUUGUGUCUCUCUUUUUCUCAAACAGCCCAAAAGUGACUAAAUCCACUUAAAUUUUUGCUGAGAGGUUCAAACCUCUGACUUUCCGUGCAUUUUCAUGCAGCUGCCAUCCAAUGUCAUACUCCCUAAGUGUUUUAGGUUGUCUGAGAGCAAUUCUACUUUUGACUCCAGUUGACAACCAUGCAGGAUCAUUUUUGGAGCGAAAGAUGAAUUUAUGGCUAAUUAUGACACUUCCCACUUCCUCACAAUUUCACAGCGCUCUGGAUGUUGUUUUCUGCUUUUCUCUCAAAUCAUUGGUGGAUGCUGCCUCAAAGGAAAAAUAAAAUGGGUGGGAGACCAUCUUCAGUGUUACAGGAACACGGGGUGUGUGGGCUCAGCUCAUCAACAGCUGCCUGCAGUGCCUGGAAAUCCACCUUAUCCCUGCAAGCCUGUGGCAAGUGACAAGGACAAUGCUGUCAGGACCCUGCUGAUAUUGAAGUAAGAAUGGAAAGUAAUCUUUUGAAGUUGGAUUUCAGAGGUUUAACAGGGGAAAAAUAAAUGUUGUCACACUAGGAAAGCUGAAAUUGAUCCUGUUCUGGUGCUGCAUAUGGAAUAUGUUGGGUGUCAUUUGCAACUGAGGCAAGCAAAAAGGGAGAUGAAAGGAAGACCAAGGAUGGACAAGAUGGGCACUCGUUUCUUGUGGGUGAUUAAAAAGUUAAAUGGUACAGACUGCAUCAUCUCCCGCUCGUGUAGAAGGAAUAAUACAAGUUUAGACCAUGUAAUGGGAAGUUAUGGGACUCCAAGAAUGCAAAUG